UCGAGGAAAUGGUGUAACCAAGACGGACUCUCUUGUUGGUAAUAAUAAGUGUUUGUUUGUGAUUUGUUUUAUGAACUGUUGUUUUAUCUGAAUUGUUGGUUCGUUACGCAGAGACAUCUUCUAGGUACAGGGAGAUAUCUUCAAGAAACUUCUAUAUGAUAAUGUUGUUAAAUGAAGCAUGAACAAAGUCUGUUGAUUAAUUUCAGUGCUCUUCCUACCUUGAAAUAUCUGCCGUUUUAACUUUUAUUUUAGAGGUGAUAAGUCACGAUUGAGAUGGUAUGUGCAUGUGGUAAGAAUGGAUGACGAGGAGGGAGUGAAGAGGGCUUGGGAAGAACCUGUUAGAGGAAGAAGAUCGAAAGGGAAGACAGAAUUAGGUGGCGGGAUAAAGUGAAGGAAGAUAUGGAGAGAAGUUUGUUUGAGAUGCAUUUGAUAGCAGGCAGUGAGAAGGCUCAUCAGGCAACAGACCCUUUAGGGAUAACGGUAGGAAAGAUGAUGAUCCGAAUGAUUGCUACUACCGAUCUAAUAAUUUUUCAAAGCAAUUUUAGCCUUCGCUAAGGCAAGAAGAAUGAAUCCCACGUCGUUGCGCUUUUGUUAAAAAGCGGUGUUGUGAGGUGGUGUCAUGCUGGGGGUUGUAAAGUCUGUAUUCAUCAAAUGUUGAUAGCCACACAGUUGUAGCUAGACUGAAGAAAAGAUGUGCCAUUAGCUUUUAGAUUACACCUAGGCUUAUCGUAUUGUCAGUUGAUAUUAAUGAUCUUGGUUUUAUUAAGAAUAAUAAACUUGCAGUGACGCUGGUUUAGUGGGCGGAGGUUUUUCCCAAUUGUAUAUUGUUGACGACCUCCAUACUACCAAAAUGCUUAUAAUGCUGCCAAUUCUUUAUUUUUGAGCGAGGUUAAAUCUCAACUACUCUCAACAGGGUUCACGGGUUACGCGAAGAGUAAAAUCCCUUGCUGGCAUAAGGCCACAACUACAAAAAGAAAGACCUGACAAGCCUAAGUGAACUUAUACAUAAAUCACCAACCUGAAACUACGCAAUGUUAUGUCGGUAAGCCAUCUGGGAUGGCUACAAGCCCAAUUGCAGCAGAAGUGAUAAAUGUAUUAAAAGUUGUGCUUUUUCAGACUUAAAUAAAUCCUUUGUUUUUUUC
Molecule: long non-coding RNA, 1142 nt
Organism: Macrobrachium nipponense
Lineage: Eukaryota; Metazoa; Arthropoda; Malacostraca; Decapoda; Palaemonidae
Exons: 4
Source: RefSeq, a predicted model, not a curated record